GUAGGUGGCAAGCGUUGUCCGGAAUUAUUGGGCGUAAAGCGCGCGCAGGCGGUUCUUUAAGUCUGAUGUGAGAGCCCACGGCUCAACCGUGGAGGGUCAUUGGAAACUGGAGAACUUGAGUACAGAAGAGGAAAGCGGAAUUCCACGUGUAGCGGCGAAAUGCGUAGAGAUGUGGAGGAACACCAGUGGCGAAGGCGGCUUUCUGGUCUGUAACUGACGCUGAGGCGCGAAAGCGUGGGGAGCAAACAGGGAUUAGAUACCCUGGUAGUCCACGCCGUAAACGAUGAGUGCUAAGUGUUAGGGGGUUUCCGCCCCCUUAGUGCUGCAGCUAACGCAUUAAGCACUCCGCCUGGGGAGUACGGCCGCAAGGCUG
Molecule: ribosomal RNA, 373 nt
Filed under: uncultured organism
Description: partial 16S ribosomal RNA
Rfam family: Bacterial small subunit ribosomal RNA
Source: RNAcentral